Molecule: ribosomal RNA, 320 nt
Filed under: uncultured bacterium
Lineage: Bacteria
Description: bacterial SSU rRNA
Rfam family: Bacterial small subunit ribosomal RNA
Source: RNAcentral
CGCAAGGGGAGCGGCAGACGGGUGAGUAACGCGUGGGAAUCUACCCAUCUCUACGGAACAACUCCGGGAAACUGGAGCUAAUACCGUAUACGUCCUUCGGGAGAAAGAUUUAUCGGAGAUGGAUGAGCCCGCGUUGGAUUAGCUAGUUGGUGGGGUAAUGGCCUACCAAGGCGACGAUCCAUAGCUGGUCUGAGAGGAUGAUCAGCCACACUGGGACUGAGACACGGCCCAGACUCCUACGGGAGGCAGCAGUGGGGAGUAUUGGACAAUGGGCGAAAGCCUGAUCCAGCCAUGCCGCGUGAGUGAUGAAGGCCCUAGGG